Molecule: long non-coding RNA, 4424 nt
Organism: Patella vulgata (common limpet)
Lineage: Eukaryota; Metazoa; Mollusca; Gastropoda; Patellidae
Exons: 2
Source: RefSeq, a predicted model, not a curated record
AUCUUGAAUAUAAAAGUUUUUCUCAGUCUACUAUUGUGAAAUCCCUUUUAAAAUUUUUUUUCAUUGUUUUUUUUUUCUUUUUGUUGUUAAAAGUCGCAAUGCGUCAUUUUAGCGCAAUAGGAAUCCCUUGCAAUGGUUCAAUUCAAUUCAGUAUUUACAAAGAUAUGUCAAAUGGAAAUGAACUGACUGAUAUUCCUAUUAGACUUAAAACUUUAAUGCCACCAGGCCUUUUUUACUCCCUGGUUCGAGAUAUCCCUCCCUAUACACCAAAUACAGACAAACAAACGACAGUCACAAAUAUUAGUAUAGAUAUUGUUUACAAGGGAUUCCUAUAGCACUAAAUGACGUGAUGUGACUUUAGUACAAGGUCACAUUAUCCAGACAGAAAAAAUUAAAUUUCACAUCAUUUCGGAAAGGCAUAAAAUAUACAGCUGUAAAUGAUGAAAUAUAAACAAAAGUUAAAAUUUAUUUAUUUGCAUGAAACAUUUGUUCACACUCUUUUUAUUUCUGGGGUUUUAAUUAAUAAAUAACGGUUAUUGUACAGGUUUUAAUUUUGACGACAAUUUUUACUGAAUUAAUUUGAAUAUAUUUGUAGAUUUUUUAAAUAUAUUUUGAUUACAUAAUAAUUGAUUAUUGGGUCUGGAACCUCAAAGUUGAUUUGUUUUAGUUGUCAUUGGAAACAUAUACAUACUAUUUCCAUCAGUUUUAGAGUUUUUAUGGGGAAACAAUAAAACAGUCUGGAACCACAAAGUUGAUUUGUUUUGGUUGUCAUCGAAACAUAUACAUACUAUUUCCAUCAGUUUUAGAGUUUUUAUGGGGAAACAAUAAAACGGUCUGGAACCACAAAGUUGAUUUGUUUUGGUUGUCAUCGGAAACAUAUACCGGUACUAAUAAUUCCAUCCGUUUAGAGUGUAAGAGAGAAACUGAUCUGAUGUCCCCUUUAACCAAAACAGCUUCUGUAUAGUAGUAUACAUAAUAUUAAAAUAAUAUGACUAGUAUACAUAAAUAUUAAAAUAAUAUGACUGUAGUAUACAUAAAUAUUAAAAUAAUAUGACUGUAGUAUACAUAAAUAUUAAAAUAAUAUGACUGUAGUAUACAUAAAUAUUAAAAUAAUAUGACUGUAGUAUACAUAAAUAUUAAAAUAAUAUGACUGUGGUAUACAUAAAUAUUAAAAUAAUAUGACUGUAGUAUAUAUUAAAAUAAUAUGACUGGUAUACAUAAAUAUUAAAAUAAUAUGACUGUGGUAUACAUAAAUAUUAAAAUAAUAUGACUGUGGUAUACAUAAAUAUUAAAAUAAUAUGACUGUGGUAUACAUAAAAAUUAAAAUAAUAUGACUGUAGUAUACAUAAAUAUUAAAAUAAUAUGACUGUAGUAUACAUAAAUAUUAAAAUAGUAUGACUGUGGUAUACAUAAAUAUUAAAGAGUUUAAAAUAAUGAUUACCAUAUGAUUGGCAUAUUCCCAAACUAUUUAAAUUCAAAUAUAGGAUAUUGGUCUUGACAUGUUGUUUAGGCAUAAAACGCUUAAUAUAUUGUAAUAACCAGGAAUUACUUUAUUCCACAGUGAUUACAUCAUUGGGGGUCUCUCAAUGAUUAGUUUUGGAUAAAAGCUCUAAUUAUCUGUUGAUCAGGUCGCUGGGUACAACGUGGACCUUAUAACUUAUUAUAAGGUCCAUGGAUAUACCACUGAUAAUCGCCAGUUAAUCCACAGAUAGGCAUCCACGUAGUUGUGAGUCUCCCAUUGAUUGGUUGGCCAAACUUUGGACUUGUUUAUAACCUUUUUUUUUGGUUAGUUUAUUUGGCAUUUUUUUUAAUGAUAUUAUUUUAUGAAAGACACUAUGAUUGGUUAGGACUAAAUGGCAUCCCAACCAAGCAUUUACAACAUUGAGGCAGACAUUAUUUCAUGUAGCAUUUAAAGAAUUUGGGUAACAGAAAUGUCAUGGGCUAAUUUGGAAAUAUUUAGAUGUAAAUAUAUUUGAUUUUAUAUAUGUUUUGUAUAUGAUUAGAUUGUGAAUUUUAACAUUCUUAAUGUGUAAUAUUAUAACUAAUAUGAGUAUUCUCAGCUUUAUAUAGUGUAUUCCUGUAUGUAACAAGGGGCAGAUCCAGGAAUUUUUGCAGGAGGGGGUUUGUCAGGUUCCUGUUAAGGAAAUUUGACAGUUGACAAUACAUGAUCAUCAUAGGCAUGAUAGACAUACACACUGAGCUUUUAAAGGGAGAAAUCCAACUCCCCGUUUGACGUCAAUUUUUAUUAUGUAUUAAUAGGAUCACCCACUGCCCCCCCCCCCUCGACCCCCACCCCUGGAUCCGCCCCUGGUAAAACUUUUAUAUUAGGAUGAUUUCAUCUGAAUUUAGACCUGGAAAUACCGGUAGAAUUUAUGAUACAUGACAGAAUAUCAGGCACUAUUCCCCCCCCCCCCCCAAAAAAAAACAAAGAAAGAAAGAAAGACUAAUCUUUGCCCGGACAAAAUGACAGAACAACACCACAAGAAUUAUACCUGAUUAUUCCUGAAUUUUUACCUGACAUAUGGUUUUAUUAUCAGGUUUGCCUUAAUUCUAAAAAUUUUAAAUUUUUAAUUUACAUAAUAAAAGAUUUUUGUAUAUAGAUAUAUGUGACUUGAAAAUAUUGUGCCAUGAUUCAAGAAAAAAGAACACUGUGAACUCUGAUUUUGCAUUAAAAGUUGAUAUAUUCCAAGUGGGACAAAUGCAGCGCCAUCUUGAUGGGUGGACACAUACAUAUCUUAGAAGUUCUGUUUAAUUAAGGGAUUUUUUGGCAGGACAUUUUCAAUCAAUAAUUUGAAUGAAAAUAUUUAUGACAUCAAUAAUUUUAAUGAAAAUAUUUAUUACAUCAAUAAUUUUAAGGAAAAUAUUUAUUACAUUAAUAAUUUUAAGGAAAAUAUUUAUUACAUUAAUAAUUUUAAGGAAAAUAUUUAUGACAUCAAUAAUUUUAAGGAAAAUAUUUAUAAAAUCAAAAGUUAUUCAAUGGUUAAUUCUUUAUCUGCAUAAAGCAGUGGUUGUAAGACUUUGACAGUAUAUUUUUUCCUGUGCUAAUUUUGAGUGCCUUAGCAUGACAUAACAUUGUAUUUUUUGCAUGUUUUAUAUAAAAGAGGUAGACAUUAGUUAUGUGACUGACACUGUUUACUGUGUUUAAUACUUUAAAUUGGUAGUAUCCCUUUAGCAAUUGUCCUGCUCAGUGGCUUAUUGGACUGAUUUAAGAGGGUUUGGAUUGAUUUAAGAGGGUUUGGACUGAUUAGAGAGGGUUUGCACUGAUUGGACUGGGUUUGUGCAUGAACUUAGGCUGCAUUAAAUGUUUUUUCUUAAAUUUGAAAUUACCAGGCAUUAAAGCAUAACUGUGGAAAGAAUUAUUCAUUGGUUUUGUCAUGAUUUGUUCCAAUUGUAUACUGUAUUAAUGUUAAUGCAUACAAUAGUAAUGUUAACACAAUGUUAAUGUUAACACAAUGUUAAUGUUAACACAAUGUUAAUGUAUACUAUGUUUAUGCAUACACUAUUAUGUUAAUGGACACAAUAUUAUGUUAAUGAUAUUAAUGUUAACGCAAACAGUGUUAUGUUAAUGCAUAUAAUAUUAAUGUUCAUGCAUAUAAUAUCAAUGUUAAUUAAAACGAUAUUAAUGGUAAUGAAUAGAAAUAUUUAUUCGAAAUCGCUCAACAGAAUUAAGCAUCCAUUCCAUGUUUUCGGUAUUUAGAACCCUUUUUGGGAUUUAUAUAAACUGCUCUCAAUAAGCUAUGCAUCACUACCUGCUCUAAAGAGAAACUCACUCCCUAUUUUUGGUGUUUUAAAACUUGCUCAUUCUAUAGGAUAAUUUUCUACUGCUUCAUUAAGAUUAUUUCUGUAUUUAUUGGGAAAUUCUUGAUGUAAAGAUGAUUAUGUUAUAUAAUGUGUAAAACAGGUAUCGUUUUAAAGCUUGAUAACCAUACCUGUAUGUGUAUUGAAACAUAGCAUGUUAAUCAAAUUCAGAAGUAGGGUAUCCAUAUAAGUGUGUUAAUUUUAGUGAAAUCUAUUUUUAUAUGUCUUAUAAGGAUUAUUUUUUUGGUAUUAUAUCCAAAUAAUUUUAGUAAAUUUCCAUUAUGUUUUUUUAAUUGUCAUUUAAUUCAUGUUUUGCUGUUUUAAGUACUUUAAAGAUGGGAUUUUUUUUGAUGCAGUUCUUAAUAUUAAUGGAAAUGAUUUUUUGAUGAAAUCUUCAAUAAUGACAAUGGCUUUUUUUGAUACAAUUCUUAAUAAUGGCUUAUUGACACAAUUCUUAAUACUAAUGUAAUUCUAAAUAUUGAUACUGGUAAUAUUCUUUUAAUGCAAUUCUUAAUGACAAUUCCUUUCAAUUUUAAAAUACAUUUUAUUAUUUGUACGUAAUUUGAAAUUAUUGUGAAGUAAUGAUUUUGAUAUUUAUGUCAAAUAAAAUAAAUCGUAGAAAUGUU